GUAACGGGUGGAGCUGACUGGUACUAAUAGGCCGAGGGCUUGUCCUCAGUUG
RNAcentral lists this ribosomal RNA (52 nucleotides) under Streptomyces sp. JS01. RNAcentral's name for it is "partial 23S ribosomal RNA". Lineage: Bacteria; Bacillati; Actinomycetota; Actinomycetes; Kitasatosporales; Streptomycetaceae. The record is from RNAcentral.